AAAACCCUCGCCACUCAUGAAGAACUGAGGCAAAAGGAUCACAGAUGCUGCUCGGGGCCAGCCCUAUACUCCCUCCAGUGCCUGGUCUCCGGUGGACCCGCGGGGCUCUGCAGUUCUCUGGCGGCCGCGCCUUGUAAGCGCUAAGCCGGGAGGAGGGCGCAGGCAGGGCGCACAGCUCUGAGCGCGACCCUACCCGGCUCGGGCCCGCAGCAACCCCGACUGUCCGAGAGCCUCUCCCCAAGCAAGGCUCUGCGCCGCCCUCUGAGCCCACCUCCUGGCCACAACGCUGCCUGCGCUUCUCCAGCCCAGGCCGGAAGCCCUAUGCUGCCUCCCGAAGCCGGACUUUCUGGAAGCCCAUCUUCGUAUGCUCACCAGCCCACCCUCCUACGCUGGUCAGAGUGAGAUUGCUAACCUCAAGACCCCAUUCAAUGCCAGCUUUCAACUACUGCUGAAGACCAAUGUAGGUCCUGGAAUAGAAGAACUGCAGAGUAUCCGGAGCUGGCCGACCCCAGACUGAUUCUCAACAGGUGGCUGGCGUCAAUGCUCUAGAGAUGGGACCUCGCCUUCCAAGGUGUCUUCACUAUCACAGGGCCCGGGCUCUCUGCCUCAGCCCAACCCUGGGCUUGCGCUCAGAGAGGAGGUAUUCCGACGGAAAAAAAUCCCAUACAUUUUUAACUACAGUGAUUACUAAAUUAAUAGCAGGCACCAAGACAGAUGUCAAAACGUCUUGAAAAUGUUUAUCUGUGAAUAAUUGAGAAGGUAGUGGGACGCAUUAUCUGAUUGUGUAAUGAAAUAUGUAUGAGGAACAGCUGUUUGCAGCAGCCCCUUCCCCUUGCCGCCUUAGCCAGGGCCCUUCUCUCGCAAGCUUUCUUCUACUUUCUUCCACCUUUUUCUUCCUUCUACUUUCUAGUUCGCUCUCUUCUUCCUUAACUGCUCGCACGGCUUUGGCUGCAGUGAACCCAGAGUCGCCUGGUUCUCUGAUGAAGGUUAGCCACAAGGUUUCCUCUAAGCCUUGCUGGAUUGGCGUUCCGUAGUGGGAUGAGGCUUCGUUGUCUGCUGUUCUGGCCAUCGCGCCUUCCGGCCAGGCUGCCCGCUGGGUCUCCAUGGAGUCUGCGGG
This 1117-nucleotide long non-coding RNA is filed under the name Mus musculus (house mouse). RNAcentral's name for it is "SIX homeobox 3, opposite strand 1, transcript variant 8 (Six3os1)". The record is from RNAcentral. Lineage: Eukaryota; Metazoa; Chordata; Mammalia; Rodentia; Muridae.